Molecule: ribosomal RNA, 441 nt
Filed under: uncultured bacterium
Lineage: Bacteria
Description: partial 16S ribosomal RNA
Rfam family: Bacterial small subunit ribosomal RNA
Source: RNAcentral
CCUACGGGUGGCAGCAGUGGGGAAUAUUGGGCAAUGGAGGAAACUCUGACCCAGUGACGCCGCGUGAAGGAAGAAGGUUUUCGGAUUGUAAACUGCUUUAGACAGGGAAGAAACAAGACAGUACCUGUACAUUAAGCUCCGGCUAACUACAUACCAGCAGCCUCGGUAAUACUGAGGGAGCAAGCGUUAUCCGGAUUUAUUGGGUUUAACGGGUGCGUAGACGGGAAGUCAAGUUGGUUGUGAAAUCAAUCGGCUUAACUGAGGAACUGCAAACAAAACUAACUGUCUUGAGUGCUGGAGAGGUAAGCGGAAUUCCUGGUGUAGCGGUGAAAUGCGUAGAUAUUAGGAGGAACACCAGUGGCGAAGGCGACUUUCUGGACAGUAACUGACGUUGAGGCACGAAAGUGUGGGGAGCAAACAGGAUUAGAUAACCCUGUAGUC